UGGACGGCCGGGUGGCAGACUAUCGUGGGUAUGUGCAUAUAUAUUCAUACCCGUAAGUCUCCAUCGAGCUCCGGCUGUC
Molecule: microRNA precursor, 79 nt
Filed under: Ascaris suum (pig roundworm)
Lineage: Eukaryota; Metazoa; Nematoda; Chromadorea; Rhabditida; Ascarididae
Description: microRNA asu-mir-56 precursor
Gene: asu-mir-56
Source: miRBase by way of RNAcentral